RNAcentral lists this transfer RNA (67 nucleotides) under pig gut metagenome. It matches the Rfam family "tRNA". Rfam says of the family: Transfer RNA (tRNA) molecules are approximately 80 nucleotides in length. Their secondary structure includes four short double-helical elements and three loops (D, anti-codon, and T loops). The record is from RNAcentral.
CGGGUGUAGUUCAAUGGUAGAAUCCCAGCCUUCCAAGCUGAUUGCGUGGGUUCGAUUCCCAUCACCC